RNAcentral lists this ribosomal RNA (245 nucleotides) under uncultured bacterium. RNAcentral describes it as "partial 16S ribosomal RNA". It matches the Rfam family "Bacterial small subunit ribosomal RNA", at positions 526 to 771 of the family's 1533-position model. The record is from RNAcentral.
CGUAGGUGGCGAGCGUUAUCCGGAAUUAUUGGGCGUAAAGAGUGCGCAGGCGGUUUGAUAAGUCUAAAAUAAAAGCCCGAAGCUUAACUUCGGUUCGUUUUAGAAACUGUCAGACUAGAGUGUGGUAGAGGCAAAUGGAAUUUCUAGUGUAGCGGUAAAAUGCGUAGAUAUUAGAAGGAACACCAGUGGCGAAGGCGAUUUGCUGGGCCACAACUGACGCUCAUGCACGAAAGCGUGGGGAGCAA